RNAcentral lists this transfer RNA (77 nucleotides) under Bacillota bacterium. RNAcentral's name for it is "Firmicutes bacterium (compost metagenome) tRNA-Arg". It matches the Rfam family "tRNA". From Rfam's summary of the family: Transfer RNA (tRNA) molecules are approximately 80 nucleotides in length. Lineage: Bacteria; Bacillati; Bacillota. RNAcentral also lists the same sequence under 2 other names. The record is from RNAcentral.
GCGCCCGUAGCUCAGCUGGAUAGAGCGUCUGACUACGGAUCAGAAGGUCAGGGGUUCGAAUCCUCUCGGGCGCACCA